RNAcentral lists this small RNA (142 nucleotides) under Sodalis glossinidius str. 'morsitans'. RNAcentral's name for it is "Leu_leader". It matches the Rfam family "Leucine operon leader". From Rfam's summary of the family: At least 6 amino acid operons are known to be regulated by attenuation. In each a leader sequence of 150-200 bp is found upstream of the first gene in the operon. This leader sequence can assume two different secondary structures known as the terminator and the anti-terminator structure. The record is from RNAcentral. Lineage: Bacteria; Pseudomonadati; Pseudomonadota; Gammaproteobacteria; Enterobacterales; Bruguierivoracaceae.
CAUAACUUAUGUUCAAGUCUAUCCGUCUACUAAGCCUACUACUACACGUAGAAUUGAUGCGCGGCAGGCUGGUGCACGGUAUUCAGAACUGAAUUCGGGCCACUCCAGAUUAAAACCCGCGCACUACUGCGCGGGUUUUUUU